Molecule: ribosomal RNA, 406 nt
Filed under: uncultured bacterium
Lineage: Bacteria
Description: partial 16S ribosomal RNA
Rfam family: Bacterial small subunit ribosomal RNA
Source: RNAcentral
AUUGAACGCUGGCGGCAGGCCUAACACAUGCAAGUCGAGCGAGCGGCGGACGGGUGAGUACUGUCUGGGAAACUGCCUGAUGGAGGGGGAUUACUACUGGAAACGGUAGCUAAUACCGCAUCCCAUCAGAUGUGCCCAGAUGGGAUUAGCUAGUAGGUGGGGUAACGGCUCAACUAGGCGACGAUCCCUAGCUGGUCUGAGAGGAUGACCAGCCACACUGGAACUGAGACACGGUCCAGACUCCUACGGGAGGCAGCAGUGGGGAAUAUUGGACAAUGGGCGAAAGCCUGAUGCAGCCAUGCCGCGUGUGUGAAGAAGGCCUUCGGGUUGUAAAGCACUUUAAGCUGGGAGGCGUUACCCGCAGAAGAAGCACCGGCUAACUUCGUGCCAGCAGCCGCGGUAAUAC